RNAcentral lists this ribosomal RNA (506 nucleotides) under uncultured Rhizophagus. Its description in RNAcentral is "SSU rRNA". It matches the Rfam family "Eukaryotic small subunit ribosomal RNA", at positions 569 to 1081 of the family's 1831-position model. The record is from RNAcentral. Lineage: Eukaryota; Fungi; Glomeromycota; Glomeromycetes; Glomerales; Glomeraceae.
AGCAGCCGCGGUAAUUCCAGCUCCAAUAGCGUAUAUUAAAGUUGUUGCAGUUAAAAAGCUCGUAGUUGAAUUUCGGGGUCAGUAGGUUGGUCAUGCCACUGGUAUGUACUGGCCUCACUGAUUCCUCCUUCCUGAUGAGCCGUAAUGCCAUUAAUUUGGUGUUGCGAGGAAUCUGGACUGUUACUUUGAAAAAUUAGAGUGUUUAAAGCAGGCUAACGCUUGAAUACAUUAGCAUGGAAUAAUGAAAUAGGACGUUCGAUCUUAUUUUGUUGGUUUCUAAGAUUGACGUAAUGAUUAAUAGGGAUAGUUGGGGGCAUUAGUAUUCAAUUGUCAGAGGUGAAAUUCUUGGAUUUAUUGAAGACUAACUACUGCGAAAGCAUUUGCCAAGGAUGUUUUCAUUAAUCAAGAACGAAAGUUAGGGGAUCGAAGACGAUCAGAUACCGUCGUAGUCUUAACCAUAAACUAUGCGACUAGGGAUCGGAUGAUGUAUUUUUAAUGACUCAUUC